Long non-coding RNA from Mus musculus (house mouse), 7287 nucleotides. RefSeq annotates it as predicted gene, 31291. The record is from RefSeq and is a predicted model, not a curated record. The transcript is spliced from 3 exons. Lineage: Eukaryota; Metazoa; Chordata; Mammalia; Rodentia; Muridae.
UGAAACCCUCUGUCUUUGGACCCUCUCAGCAACUCUGCCCCUUGGCCAAUGUCUCAAGAAAACCACUCACCAAUUGUUUCUGUAAGUGGUGGCAAGUGUCAAAAGCGGGGGACAGUUUGCUCAGGUUUUCAGAUGAGGAGGCGUAGUCACUAGCUCCAAAGAGGCUUUGUCUAAGACCACAGGCUCUGGGCACAGUGCUCUGCUCCGUCCGCACCAUCUGGGGACAUGUAACUGUUAGAACAGCUCUUCUCACCCUGUGUCAGCAAGGCCAGGAUUACGUUGUGGGGCUGAGGCUGGAACCUCAGAACAAGCACACGUGGUGGCAUUGGGGAUGUAACCUCAUGCAUCCUGGGGGUAUAAAGCCGUAUCUCUGCCCACCUGAAUAUCUCAGAAGCUUACAGGUUCAGGAAGGGAGCGGGAUGCUCCUACAGCCAGGAGGACUGAGCUGGAACUGGGGGAGUCUGCGGCUCACAAUGGAUGCUGUCUUUUCCCAGUAUUUAGUGAAGAAACUUGAGACUUGAAAGAGGUGGUGGCGGGAUUUGAACCGAGUUCUGUAGGUGCCUGGAAAUAUGUUAGUGGGGCCGAGUACACUUCCUCAGGCCUAGCUCCUGAUGAAUGAUGUAAUGCCCCUGCCCCAUCCAUCCAUCCAUCCAUCCACCCAUCUAUUUAUUUAUUUUUUCCAAGUGCCCCAGGACCAGAGUUCUCCAGAGCUCCUGUGGAGGCAAAUAUCAUUCUUGGUUCCAUACAUUCAUAGUCAUUCUUAGCGCUGUGACAUAGAAGAUAGCUCUAAGGACCAGCCUGGGAAUCAGAGUGGGAAUAGAAGUGGGUGGUGGACUAGGAAAUCAGGUCCCUCUUUUGGGCUUGGUAUUCCCCCCUCCCCCAUCCCUUCCCCAGCCACCACUAAAGGUGAAGUUCUUUUCAGUGGGAAUGAUGAAGUCUCACGCUCUGAGGCAGUUGAGCCACCACUGAGCCACACCCCCAGGUACCAAGGUGAGUGUUGAACUAACUCUAAGGCCCUUUCACUUGUGUGUGUGAUUAUGUGUGUGUGAGCACUGGGGAUGGGAUUGGUGAGGGGUGCAGACAGGCAAAGUGUGGCCACUUUGGGGGGGCUCUGUGUAGCCCCAUGGGGGGGGGAAUCUUCUUUGCAGCCUGUUCUCAGUCUUCCUUCCUUCUCAAGUGCGGGCUCUGGGGUCAGCAAGCUGAGCAGUUGUUUGGCUUAAUAAAACCCCUUGAUCUUUUUUGAGGUAGCUUUGGGCAGGGGAGCUGCUGCAGAUGUUUCAGAAAACCUCCCACUGAAGGAGGCAAAGGACAAAGGACAGCUGAACUAUGUGUGUGUGUGUGUGUGUGGCAUGUCCUGGGGGAGGUGUGGCUGUGGGGGGGCACCUGGUAAGGAUUUAUAAAUAUGGAUGGAGUGGGGUCAGCUGCAUUCAGACCUCUGCUUGUGCACACAAUGAUUUGGCAGAAUGCUACAGAGACCAUUCAAGACUCUGUGUGUGUGUGUGUGUGUGUGUGUGUGUGUGUGUACAUAUGUGUGUGCACACGUGUGCUUCUGUGUGCAUGCAUGUAUUCCUGUGAAUGAGCAGGGCCCUCAGCCACCACCUUGUAGAGGGGAGCAGUGCACGAGGCAAGGUUUCUAGAGAUCACCUGAGUGAGGUUGGGGUGCUCGCCUUUCUUCCUUGCCAACACAGGUAGAUUACAUCUGGUCUGAGUAACCAUUCCCUAGAGGAAGUUAAUUAAUGCCUCAAUAUUUACCAAGUGUCUGCUGGGAUGGCGGCUCAGAGCAGGGCAUGGAUCACUGGGGACCUGGGUUCCAUUCAAACCCCAGGCAAUGCCAGCCCCAGGUGGGUCAGUGCUCUUAUGCCCUGUGAGUACCCAGAAGCUGCAUACACCAGAUCUCAGGGCAUUUAGGAAGGUACCUGGCCAGAGAUGGGAUUUAACCUUUGGGGCUUUGGAAUAGUUUUAGGGGAGAUGCCCGGGUGAAAAGCAUCUUGGGGGUGUUGUGCUUUGAGUUUGGGGGUGCAGUGAGUAGGGGGGACUUCUUAGGUUUGUUUAUAUGCUUACUCUCCUGAGAGAGGCUUUCAUAACCUUUGCCUGGAGGCCAUGGAAGUGUAAGGAAGAACAAGACACAGUUGUCCCCUGCAGUGAAGGAAAGAGAUGGACUCUCACAGAGCAGACACAGGAGGCCCAGGAAGCUCCUUGUGAUAAAACCAAGACCUUAAGACCAAAGAAGAAGAGAUGCUUUCUACAAGUAUAGAGUCAGGAAGGGGGUUCAGUGAGGGUCUGAUUUACAGUAGGUGCUCAAUAAACAUCUGUAGAAUACAGUGAAUGUAAUGUGUAGAAGCUAUAACGACUAAGGCCAAGCAACCCUUCUCCCCAUUUCCAGAUAGGUAAACUGAGGUCCAGAGAGGGGGUAGGGUGUGUUCUGGAAUUGGCCUAGAUGCCCCUUCAACAUCAGCCUGUCUCCCUGUGCUCCAGGCUCUAGCUGAGGCUGUUUCAUAUGGGACUUGCUCUACGGGGUCCCUGGCCCCCAUGGCCCUCAUGUGGCAGCUAGGCAUGGCAACACAGGAGACUGCCUGGUGAUAGUAGUCAGUGCUGCAGGGCAAGGUUGGGGUUUUGCAGCCAGGAAGGAGAGCAGCUAUUCUCAGCCCUAAAGGACCAGGGAGAAGUUUGCCUCACACGGUCCUAGCAAGAGACGCAGUCCCAGGAAGACAAUGAGGCCUGGCUUCGAUAACCUCAAGGCCCUUCACCUAGUAAGAAAGACUGGCCUCAUCUCAGCUUUGAAGAACUUGUGCCCUCAUUCUCACCAGGUCAGGGCUGAAGCCCACACCAGUCAGUAAGGCAGGGCCUCUAAUAAUCGAUACCCUAUGGCUGAAGCAAUAGAGGCACAGACUAUGUGUCCUUCCUGAGGUCAUACAGCAAGGAAGAGAGGGGACAGGAUCUGGAGGAGAUGGACACCAUACUGUGGGUGGGUGAAGGAAAUAUGGUCCCCACCACUGCCCCCCCCCCCCAGGUGACUGUACUUGUGGACAGCAUGUACAAUGUUGCUAGUAUCUCUUGUGGGUUUCUGGACACUUAGCUAGCUGGGUAUACAUUUGUUUAUUCACUCAUUCAGGCUGCAGGCUAGACUACUUGCAGGCACUGGCUAGGCUGUAGGAAGAACACACAGCAGGUCUCACUACCUGGAGUCCAAUUUGAAGUAUCCUUUUCAUCCCCUGACCAAUCCAAUUGAUUGAUAAUGUCUGCCUGGAGCUCUGGGUGAGAAGGAAUUUGGUAUGUACCACACUUGAUUAGUGAUGUCUGCCAAGGGCUCAGCUGGAGCCUUCAAGACCAGUGUGCUAGGCAAUUUGGACACCUGGGGGUUCCAACAGAUUGAGUGUGGGUUGUGGGUCCAGGAUCAAAGGACAGGGAAGUCCUUCGAGAAGCUGGAAGAAGGGAGAGCAGAGCUCUUUCCUCUCUUCUUCCUCAGAUUCCUUCCAGAUACUGUACCCUGGGCAGGCUGGGAUAAGCCUCGUUGACCUGCUCUGCUGGGAGUUUCUAAGGCUCUUAGGACAGAACCUUCGAACUUCGCUUUCGUUUGGGUGCUGGAGGCUGCUGAGGUUGCAUUGCUCCUCAUCCCUGCACCAGAUAGGUGAGAACCCCGGGUGCCACUGUGGGUGCUGGCUUUGCCAAGAGCUGCUUUUCAGUAAUUCUCAAAGCAUUCGAAUGUAGUGGGCAGUGUUGCAGACCCAUUUGAGAGCCAAGUGGAUUGAGGCCCAAGGAAACAGGGUCCCAAGCCUGGUAUAGUGGCUUAUGCCUGUCAUCCCAGUACCUGCGGUGCAGACAAGAGGGGCUUGGACUACAGGCUGAUCUCAAGGACAACAUCAGUACAUGAAACCAAAUCAAACUAAACGACCCAGAGUGACACUGGGUGUGGUGGCUCCCACCUGUAAUUCUAGUACCUGGGAGGCCAGCCUGUGCUGUAUACAUAAUUAGUACCAGGUCAGCUGGGAUGGCAUAGCAGUGCCUUGGUUCAAAAAGCAGGAGUGGGCCAGGUGAUUGUGGCCACAUCCCAUUAAUCCCAGUUCUCGGGAGGCAGAGGCAGGUGGAUUUCUGUGUAUCCAAGCCUGGGCUACACGGAGAAACCUUGUCUCAAAAAACAACAAAAAGGGAGUAGGGGAAUAGAUGAGUGGACAGACCAUAGUAGGGAAAUAGGCUGAUGGACAGACCAUACCCUGACAUGGCUUUUUGAGUAAAGGCACUUGACAACCCAAGUCCCGUUCAGAACUCACACAGAAGUGGAAGGAGAGAACGGUUGUCCUCUGUGCUCCACAUGUGUACCUGAGCUGGGAAGACAUGGCCUUUACCCACCCCUGCCCUGCCACCUUCUGUCUUAGUCUUGUGCAUACCUAUUGGUUCUUUCCUGUAUAUUAAGUGCCUACUGUUUACUGAACUCUGGGUCAGCUCCCAGAGCCAUGGGAGUCCUGCUGUCAGGAACUGUCCUUACCUUUUCUUCAGGUGGAACAAAGAAGGAGUAAGUGGGGAGAGACGUGUACUGGACAGCUCUGAGUAUGGCGGCCAGUGCCUGUGAAUUGGACCUGAGGGUGGGGGGUGAGCAAGAGGCUAGAGAGUGAGAAGCCAGCCUGGGUUAGUUACACAGCUAGACUCUGUCACAAGCAAGCAAGACUGCCUUGAAGAAGAAAGGAACCAAGGAGGCUGGAGGAAAAGACAGUGCCCACCUUCUCAGGCCAUGGGGUGGAGGGUCAGGUCCCCUUUAUUGGUGGGUGGUACCCCUGUUGCUCACUGCUCAGGACCUGAAGCUGAGGCUGCUCCUCUGUUACCCCUGCUCCCCCAAACUGGAGAAUUUUUAAUGCUGGUUCCACAGAACAAAGAAGUGUUUUUGUUUUGAGAGCUCUCUCUCUCUCUCUCUCUCUCCCUCUCUCUAUACACAUCUGCACAUGUGUGUGUUCAAGCCUGCAUGUGUAUGAAGGGAGUGAGUGCUACGGAGGCCAGUGACACUGUUUCUAGUUUCUUUGUCCUUAAUUCAUCUUCCAAACCCCUCUCUAUUCUCAACUUAAUAAAAACAAACAAACAAACAAACAAAACAAAGCCUGAAGGGGCAGGCAGGAAUCCCAGCUACGCCAGAGAUGGAGCAGAAGGAUCGAAAGUUCAAGGCCAGCCUGAGCUAUCAAAAGAGUUUAAGGCACAUGUGGGCAGCUUGGCCCUGCUUUAAAAUCGUUUGUUUGUUUUGAAGGUGUGGGGCAUCUCUGUUCCAAUGCUUGCCUCCCAUGUGCCAAGCCCCGAGUUCAAUCCGAGCGACUACAGAACAAAGCUGAAGUAGGACCUGGAGCCGGUAGUGUGGCUCACUUGGAAGAAUGCUUGCCCAGCGCCUCGUAAACCAGGCCCACACCUGUGGUCCCAGCACCUGGGAGAUGGAGAUGAGAUCAAGGUCAUUUUCAGCUACAGAUGAUUUUGAGUCCUGAUCCAGCAUGGGCUACCUGAGCUUCUGUGUCAAAGAGAAACAAAGAAACAAAAACUGAGGGCUCUCUUCACUCCUGGCCCCAGUGCUGGUGCUGGCUGAAGGUUCCAAGCGUCCCCACAUCUGUGUCCUCAUGGCACCUACCUGGCUCUGUGAGAUUCAAGCAUUUUUGCCAUUCAGAUGGGAAAGCAGGCACUGAGACAGAAAUGGUUUGGGGUGUCGCCCUCCCUCUAGCAGGUGGUGGAGUAGGGGGUGGGGCUCUUGACUCCCAUGACCUGCUGAGUCUUUGUUUCUGGUCUCUCCUCUCCCCAGUGAAUUUCUCAAACCUGCCAUUCUGCCUCCAGGAGAAUGUAAAAGUGUGGGUCUCACUGGUGACCUCAGAGGACCUGAGAAGGGGGAAGAGAAAGGGAGACAUAAACAGGGCUGUGAAGAGCAGGGCUUUUUCCAGACCUGACCCAGGGUGGGUCUUGUGCCUGCUGUGGUGGCUCUUGUACCCUCUGCUUAGCUUAUUUGGUGAAGGAUCAAUGCAUGUGACCAAACUCUCCAGCGUUUAGAAGACAGCUGUCCUGGCUGAUGUGCUGCCGAGCAUUCUGAAGGUCCCCGAGAUGGCCUGCUGAUGAGUCAGGAGCUGUAAGUCACAGGAACUGAACCACGAUGGCUUAAACUGGAAGCGCAGAGCCUUGCAGGGGCGGGCAGAGCUGGGCAGCCUCUCCAGGAGCCCUCUGGCUUCUCUAGCACAUGACUCUUAUUCUCAGCACAAAGUGGCUGCUUCACCUCUGCCAGGCAGAAAAAAUGGGGAAGGGAAAAAGACCCUUUGCAGGCAAGGGUUGGUUGGUUUUUUUUUCUUUCUAUUUUUUCUUUUUUUCUUUUUAAUCAGAAAAACAUUUGCUGUCUGGACACUCACAACAGUGAUUUCAUCUCUUGGUCAGAAUUUCACCAGGAGACCUGCCUAGCUGUAAAGGGGUCUGGGAGGUGAAUAUUUGUAUCUGGGCACAUUGUCUGGGGAGGAAGAUGGAGAAAGGAUGACAACUCAGUGACAAGCCACAGUGUCCUACCACUGUGUCAGUGGUCUUUGCCACUUUCCCCUGGUCAGUGCCUUACUGUUUUGUAAUGGCUUAGAAGCAGUGUCUGUGUGCAGCACAGGCCUGGGGUACACAGGCGGCUGGGUAACUGGGGACUUGGGAGGUAUCUCUAAGUCUUACCAUUUCCCAGGUACUUAGCAGAACCCACAGAGCUUCUGGCUGCUUACACAGGACUGGCAGCAGUAGCUGGGCUUAGGUAACUGACUAGUUCCUCCUCAGUGGGUUACAAGGCCCUUUCUCUCUUGGAGAGGUUCACAGAUACACAUAGUCCCUCUGCAUUUCCAGUCCCUUGGAGCAACUCUGCAGAGACAUCGAUGCUGCCUUGCUAAGGAUCUGGCCACUCUCCAGGACCCUGUGCAUUCUGUCCAUGUCCUGGCUGUUAUAGGCAGCCUGGCAACACUGGGGACAGUUGGUCCAACCCAUAGUCAACAGGCAAACACUCUGCACCAGUUGCCUGAGGUCCCAGAGGUUUCAAGUGGCAGAUCCUGGACUUGAACCCUUGCUUGUCCAUUUCCAUAAUAAUGAUCACUGCCCAUCUAGUGGAUACCACUUUUUCUUUACAGGUUAGUGGUCACUCUAACUGUGUAGAAAGCUGGAGAAAAUCUGAGGCACAGAGGCAGACUGGCUGAAGAGAAGACAGGAAUUGGUAGCAGGCCAUACCCAGCGUCUUUAGCAGACUUCAGUCUGCCUCAAGUCUGGAAGUGCUGUGAAGACCCUCCGUGGGAUGGGGGUGCAGUGCUUCAGGGAGGG